AUUGAACGCUGGCGGCAUGCUUUACACAUGCAAGUCGAACGGCAGCACGGACUUCGGUCUGGUGGCGAGUGGCGAACGGGUGAGUAAUACAUCGGAACGUGCCCAGUUGUGGGGGAUAACUACUCGAAAGAGUAGCUAAUACCGCAUGAGAACUGAGGUUGAAAGCAGGGGAUCGUAAGACCUUGCGCAACUGGAGCGGCCGAUGGCAGAUUAGGUAGUUGGUGGGAUAAAAGCUUACCAAGCCGACGAUCUGUAGCUAGUCUGAGAGGACGACCAACCACACUGGGAAUGAGACACGGCCCAGACUCCUACGGGAGGCAGCAGUGGGGAAUUUUGGACAAUGGGCGAAAGCCUGAUCCAGCAAUGCCGCGUGCAGGAUGAAGGCCUUCGGGUUGCAAACUGCUUUUGUACGGAACGAAAAGCCCCGGGUUAAUACCCUGGGGUCAUGACGGUACCGUAAGAAUAAGCACCGGCUAACUACGUGCCAGCCGCCGCGGUAA
Molecule: ribosomal RNA, 500 nt
Filed under: uncultured bacterium
Lineage: Bacteria
Description: partial 16S ribosomal RNA
Rfam family: Bacterial small subunit ribosomal RNA
Source: RNAcentral